RNAcentral lists this long non-coding RNA (495 nucleotides) under Chinchilla lanigera (long-tailed chinchilla). RNAcentral's name for it is "lncRNA (ENSCLAG00000027194.1)". Lineage: Eukaryota; Metazoa; Chordata; Mammalia; Rodentia; Chinchillidae. The record is from RNAcentral.
GUUGCCUAUUAAUGUGUCUGAGAGCUUAGGAUGUUUCAAUUAUGGACCAAGGAAACAAACUAUUUUUGCUCCUCGUACUUCCACAGAGUUACGGUUUAUUUGUCACUUGCGAGAGUCUGACGCUCUAAAUCAACAAAGGGCAAGAUGUGGGAUGAAGCAGUUGUUGAGGUUCAGAUGCUGUGGAUCCCAGAGCAGAGAUGCUACAGCACCCCGGUGUACUCAGUUGGCCAACUUGACCCCAGCAAACCUUCCUUAUUUUUCAGACUUGGCUGCCCACCUGGCCCUCCUUGUCUGGGUGUCAAAACUCAAGAGCCAAGGCUCCGCUCUGAAACAGGUCCACACCGUACCUCUGAGACUGGGCCACACGCUGCUGUCGGGGACCCCGUGUCAACCACGGCAGCGAAACAUUACAUCAGAUGCUUGGAACCAAUCAUUUCCACCCUGCCUCCCAUUUCCUGGCCCAGCAGCUGUCACAUCCUGUUGAUUCUCCAGUGA